GUAGGUGGCAAGCGUUGUCCGGAAUUAUUGGGCGUAAAACGCGCGCAGGUGGGUUCUUUAAGUCUGAUGUGAAAGCCCCCGGGCUCAACCGGGGAGGGUCAUUGGAAACUGGGGAACUUGAGUGCAGGAGAGGAAAGUGGAAUUCCACGUGUAGCGGUGAAAUGCGUAGAUAUGUGGAGGAACACCAGUGGCGAAGGCGACUUUCUGGCCUGUAACUGACACUGAGGCGCGAAAGCGUGGGGAGCAAACAGGAUUAGAUACCCUGGUAGUCCACGCCGUAAACGAUGAGUGCUAAAUGUUGGGGGGUUUCCGCCCCUCAGUGCUGCAGCUAACGCAUUAAGCACUCCGCCUGGGGAGUACGGUCGCAAGACUG
RNAcentral lists this ribosomal RNA (373 nucleotides) under uncultured organism. RNAcentral's name for it is "partial 16S ribosomal RNA". It matches the Rfam family "Bacterial small subunit ribosomal RNA", at positions 527 to 896 of the family's 1533-position model. The record is from RNAcentral.